RNAcentral lists this ribosomal RNA (492 nucleotides) under uncultured bacterium. Its description in RNAcentral is "partial 16S ribosomal RNA". It matches the Rfam family "Bacterial small subunit ribosomal RNA", at positions 29 to 507 of the family's 1533-position model. The record is from RNAcentral.
AGUGGACGCUGGCGGUAGGCCUAACACAUGCAAGUCGAACGGCAGCACAGUAAGAGCUUGCUCUUACGGGUGGCGAGUGGCGGACGGGUGAGGAAUACAUCGGAAUCUACUAUUUCGUGGGGGAUAACGUAGGGAAACUUACGCUAAUACCGCAUACGACCUACGGGUGAAAGCAGGGGAUCUUCGGACCUUGCGCGAUUGAAUGAGCCGAUGUCGGAUUAGCUAGUUGGCGGGGUAAAGGCCCACCAAGGCGACGAUCCGUAGCUGGUCUGAGAGGAUGAUCAGCCACACUGGAACUGAGACACGGUCCAGACUCCUACGGGAGGCAGCAGUGGGGAAUAUUGGACAAUGGGCGCAAGCCUGAUCCAGCCAUACCGCGUGGGUGAAGAAGGCCUUCGGGUUGUAAAGCCCUUUUGUUGGGAAAGAAAAGCAGCAGGUUAAUACCCCGCUGUUCUGACGGUACCCAAAGAAUAAGCACCGGCUAACUUCGUG